GAUGAACGCUGGCGGCGUGCCUAAUACAUGCAAGUCGAACGCAUAGCGAAAGGUGCUUGCACCUUUCAAGUGAGUGGCGAACGGGUGAGUAACACGUGGACAACCUGCCUCAAGGCUGGGGAUAACAUUUGGAAACAGAUGCUAAUACCAAAUAAAACUUAGUGUCGCAUGACACAAAGUUAAAAGGCGCUUCGGCGUCACCUAGAGAUGGAUCCGCGGUGCAUUAGUUAGUUGGUGGGGUAAAGGCCUACCAAGACAAUGAUGCAUAGCCGAGUUGAGAGACGGAUCGGCCACAUUGGGACUGAGACACGGCCCAAACUCCUACGGGAGGCUGCAGUAGGGAAUCUUCCACAAUGGGCGAAAGCCUGAUGGAGCAACGCCGCGUGUGUGAUGAAGGCUUUCGGGUCGUAAAGCACUGUUGUAUGGGAAGAACAGCUAGAAUAGGAAAUGAUUUUAGUUUGACGGUACCAUACCAGAAAGGGACGGCUAAAUACGUG
RNAcentral lists this ribosomal RNA (497 nucleotides) under uncultured bacterium. RNAcentral describes it as "partial 16S ribosomal RNA". It matches the Rfam family "Bacterial small subunit ribosomal RNA", at positions 28 to 507 of the family's 1533-position model. The record is from RNAcentral.